Molecule: long non-coding RNA, 11763 nt
Filed under: Populus tremula
Lineage: Eukaryota; Viridiplantae; Streptophyta; Magnoliopsida; Malpighiales; Salicaceae
Description: long non-coding RNA (PTRE_LNC003097)
Source: RNAcentral
AACAUUCUCAUCAAGUUGGUCCACCAUGCAAGCGCCGGAAGUUGAGGUUUUGCUUCUGAAUUUUCAGACAGAGAAAUACUCGUUGCCUGAGUUCAUAGAAAGAAUGAAUAAGCUAAAAGUUUUAGUACUUCACAAUUAUGGGUUCGUUCCAGCUGAAUUGAGCAAUUUCCCACUUCUUGGUUCUUUAUCAAAUCUUAAGAGAAUAAGGCUGGAAAAGGUUUCCAUCCCAUCCCUUUUCUUGACUUCAAUGAAAUGGAGGAAGCUAGAAAAGAUGUCCUUGGUUAUGUGCAAUAUUGAUCAAGCUUUUAAUAAAUCUACCAACAAGAUUUCGGAUGCUUUCCCAAAGUUAGUCGACCUCACCAUUGACUACUGCAAUGAUCUGGAGGAAUUGCCAACAGGAUUCUGUGAUCUUGUCUUGCUAAGAAAGCUCAGUAUCACAAAUUGUCAUAAGCUUUUGGCACUGCCAGAGGACAUGGGAAAUUUACUUGAUUUGGAGGUCCUAAGGCUCAACUCCUGCAUCGAAUUGACAGGGUUACCGGGCACAAUCGGUAGACUUCAUAAGUUGCAGAUUCUUGACUUAUCCGAAUGUCUGAGUGUAACAGAAUUGCCAGAACAGAUCGGUCAGUUGCAUGAUCUGAGAAAGCUCUACAUGAUAGAGUGCUCAAGUUGUGAAUUGCCAUCAUCAGUUGAGAAUCUUGUCCGCCUAAAAGAAGUAAUAGGCGAUCAAGAAACUGCCAUGUCAUGGAAUCGUUUCAAACCCUGCCUUCCAUCUCUGACGAUAAAGGUACAUAAGGAAAACAACUUGAACUGGCUUGGGUAGCCAUUGCUGUUUUCUGAUAAUGAUUAUUCUCCAAGAAUUCUGACGAGCCUUUAAUUUGUAAUGAUGUCAUUGUGCUUUUCUUUAAUGCAAAGAAAGAAGGUGUGAUUCUGUAAAUUGUUAGUAGCCAUUUUUCCUUGCAAAAAGAGGUUUCCUCAUAAACCCAAAACGCAGCUUGCCAGCAAUUUCUACGAGCUGAAAUUUUUUACUAGAUUUGAUGGAUUUUUGGUUUGAGGAUUAUCAUAGAAUCCAUUUGGACGAGCUUAUUUGAAUUGAUGAAGUAAAAUGAAUAAAAAGCUCUCAUGUUCUAUUUUUAGAGAGUAGGAGAUUUGACAUGCUUUUUUAUUAGAAAAUAAUAUAAAUCAUAUCAUGGAACCUCACUUAAUAAUUUAAAUUAUUGGGUUGAGAUGGUCCUUUAACAUGGUAUCAAAGCCUUGAUGAUCAAGUAGUCACGAGUUCGAAUCACACCAUCCCUAUUUAUUUGAUAAAAAUCAAGCACAAGGUAAUGUGAAUCCCACCAUCCCAAAAAAUAUAUAUUUUUUAAAAUAUAUAUAUAUAUAUAUAUCCUUCAACAAUUUAAUUUUUUUUUCUUUCUAUUAGUUUAUAUAUCGAUCUUAUGAAUUUUUUUUAUUUCAACUUUCAACAUUAGAUAUUUUGAAAGAAAGGUUUCGUAAUAUUUUUCAAUUAUUUUUUUAUGAAUUUAUCUCAAUCUCAUGGUUUAAGUCAUUGAUUUAACAAGUUAACCUAAGAUGAUUGAAGGUUUUUUUGCUGAUUUUUCUAAUUAAUUUAUUUUAUUUCAUCCUUCAACAUUGAGUUGAUUUAGAAUUGAGCUUCGUAAAUUUUUAUUCAAUUUUCUUUCUAUAAAGUUAUCUCGAUCUCAUGACAUGGUAUCAAAGCCUUGAUGAUCAAGUAGUCACGAGUUCGAAUCACAUCAUCCCUAUUUAUUUGAUAAAAAUCAAGCACAAGGUAAUGUGAAUCCCACCAUCCCAAAGGGCUUUCACUUGAGGGGGUGUGUUAGGGAAUAAUAUAAGUCAUAUCCUAGAACCUCACCUAAUAGUUUAAGCUAUCGGAUUGAGAUGAUUCCUUUGACACCUUUCAGGGGGAACAAUCAGUACAUAGAUUAGCUUGCUAAUUACAGCCAUAGACUGGUAGGGGUGGGAGGGUGUAUUCUAAUGCCGAAACCCCAUAUGGUCUUUAAUUUUUUUUAAAAAAAAAAACACUAAACGAAAUGGCUAAAUUGCAUAGCCAUUAGGUUUUGUUUUUUAAAAAAUAUAUAUAUCCUUCAACAGUUUAAUUUUUUUUUCUUUCUAUUAGUUUAUAUAUCGAUCUUAUGAAUUUUUUUUAUUUCAACUUUCAACAUUAGAUAUUUUAAAAGAAAGGUUUCAUAAUAUUUUUCAAUUAUUUUUUUAUGAAUUUAUCUCAAUCUCAUGGUUCAAGUCGUUGAUUUAACAAGUUAACCUGAGAUGAUUGAAGGUUUUUUUGCUGAUUUUUCUAAUUAAUUUAUUUUAUUUUAUCCUUCAACAUUGAGUUGAUUUAGAAUUGAGCUUCGUAAAUUUUUAUUCAAUUUUCUUUCUAUAAAGUUAUCUCGAUCUCAUGACUUGAAUUAUAAGUUUGACAGGUUGGCCUGUGUUAACUUAGUUAAUUUUUACGGGUCUUUUUUAUUUGAUUUUUUUUCAAUUUCACCCUCCAACAACCAAAACUUCUUCUUCUUUUUUUAGUUUUUUUUUUCAAUUUUAUCCUUCAAUAUUAAGUUAUUUGAGAAUUAGGUUUUGUUUAAUUUACUUUUUAUGAGGUUAUUUGGUCUCAUGGAUUUAAUGUUUUGUUCUUUUUUUAUUUUUUUUAAAAUUCAUCCUUAAACAUUGAAUUAAUUAGGAAUUGACCUUUAUAAUUUAAAUUGAUUUGUUUUUUUUAUAGAAUUAUUACGGUCUGAUGACCCAAAUCACAAAUUUGAGUGGUUAAUUCGGAUCGAUCUUAUAUGUUAUUAUCUUAAUAUUUUUUAAAACAAAGGACAACCAACAUGUCAUUGUAUUAAAUUAAAAAAAAAAUUCGUUCAAUAUGUAUCAUAUUUUGAGUUCAUGAUUUUUUUAUUAUAAAACAUGUUAUUAAUACUUAGAUAAUUGUUUAUAUAAAAAAAUGAUCUGACCCACAAUGUAGCAUGAGCCGAUUAUCCAAGUAACAACUAGAUAUUGUAAUUCCCCCUUCAUAAUUUGCUAGUCCCAUCUCAUAAUCUCUCUUUAAUUAAUAAAAUAAAAUAUGAAAAAAUACUCUUAGUUAUAUUAUUCACAAAUGAUGAUAAUAAAUGUUUUCUUGUGUUUACAUCUAUAUAUUUAAUAGGUAAAAGUCGAAAGAUAUUCACAUUUUUACCUUUGUUUUAAUCAUUUCCUAUCAUGAAAUUCAAUUUCUUUGAACAAACGUUUUUUUGGUCAUACUAUAUUUGUUUUUCAUAAAAGCAUUCUUUGUGUUUUAAAAUAUUAUUUUCCAAUAAAAUAUUUCUUUCAAAAACUAUAAUUGAAUAAAUUGAGAUUUUUUGAAAAUUAAAUUUUUAUACACUUGUUUUUUAUUUACAGUAAUUAUGAAGUUUAAUAAUUAAAAAAAUUAGUUUUCAAAGAUAAUUGAUUUGGUGAAAAUAAUGCACUCCGUAUUUAUAUGAAAGAUAAGGAUAAUAUAGUCUACCAAUAAACUUUGUAAUAAAUAUGAUGUUAAAAUAAUAAUUCAUGGAAUGAAAAUAUCACUACCUUUAUAACUAAUUUAAUUAUAGUAUUAAAUUUGCAUUUUAAUUAAUAAAUAAAUUAAGUUUGCAUAUUUAAAAGAGACAUUCUAUCACUUAAUUCAAUUCAUUUUAUUUUUUAUAUUACUAUCAUCACUGCAAAAUUACCUAAAAAUUCAAAUCCAAAUAUCUUUCAAUAAGAUCUUAUUUUCUUAUAGAGAUCAAAUAAUAUGACAGAAGAGAAUUUGUUGUGAUUUAAGUGCAUUCAAGAGAUGGAUGUUAAGGUCUAGAUCUAUUAAAAUAAAAUCUAAUCGAAGUGAAUGUGUGCGCAUUAUCUAUCUCCUGGAAUUUGACAUCUCUGGGAGUUUUUUCUGCUGAGACUGCUAGGGAAUUUCUCAGGAAGAAAGGGAAGAGAGAUGGAUGGUUCCUACUUUUGUGGGGUACUUUCCAUGUCCUAAGGCAAACUGUCGUAGGUUGGCCUGUAUUCUUUGAUAGAUUAACAAACAAGAAAAGGCAAAUCAAGUUGGUGUAGUUCUACUGCUGCAGUCUGCAGAUAGCAAAAUUUUCAACUCAGUGGCGUUUGAAGAAUGGGAUGUCGAGUCUUGUGGGGCCAAAGGAAAGUUGCAGGAAAAGGAUUCAAGUCUGGUGUCAUGAGAGUUUCUUGGUGUUUUUUAAUUUUCUUAACGUGGAAGGAAUGAAAUCGAAGGCCUCGAGAUGCUGUCAAGUUUUGAAAACUAAGGUUGUUUGGUGUUGUGUUUUGGAAAUGUUUUUGAAAAAAAGUUACAAAUUUUUAUUUUUUUUUCAAAUUAAUUUUUUUUUUUCAAAUUAAUAUGUUUUUGAUCUCUUGUUGUUAAAGAUAAUUUUUAAAAAAAUAAAAAAAAAUUAUUUUAAUAUGUUUUGAAAUGAAAAGUACUUUUGUAAAAUAGUCGCUACCAUACUCUCAAACACACUUAGUUAUAACAAAAAAUUGCUAACAAAGAAAAAUCGUCUUUGGUGUAGCAAAAGGUUGCUAACAAAGAAAAAUGAGAUCCUUCCCACUCAUACGGGUAAUAACUAGGUUCUCUAGUUUUCUUUUGUAUAAAUUAGAAAUUUAAAAACUAUCCAUGUAUUUUAUUCUUAAGUAACCAUAUAACAUGAAACUAAUAAUAUCCUCCUUGUAUUUUGUGUUUGGAAUACUAGAUUAUAUUAUUUUGUAUUUUUUAUGGUGUUUGGAAACCUCAAAUAAUAAAGUCAAUAACUUUAAAAAACAAUUACAAUAAAUAAAAGAAUAAACAUUAAAUUCCAAGAACAAGUGUUUUUGUUCUUGUUUUGGUAUGAUAAACACUCUAGGAUUUAAAAAUAUUAUUGUCUAAAGAAUAGAAAUUGUCGACCCCUUGAUGAUUCAUGAGAUAUUUAUAGCUUAGAAAUCUUAUUCUUUAGUUUGAAUAGAGGGGCUGAAAUGUAAUAUUAUCCUGAUAGCAUCAAUGAUGGAUAAAUAUAUAUUAUAUAAACAAUAAUAAAAAACAAAUAUCUCUUAAACAUACAUUAACAAUAUAUAAAUAUCUCUAGCUUUAACACUUUAUGUUAAAAGUCAUUAGAAUAGCCGAAUAAAGUCUUACGAUCCAAAAUAAAGCCUAUAAUGUUUUAUAGGCCUUUUGUUAUUUAUGCUUAGAACGCUGCCAAACCCAUGAUCAAUGGGUAUUGUAAUGAGUUUUACACAUGUCCAUUUGAGUUUGGCACGUAACUAAACUUGAGCUAAACCCAUGCCAUCCGGACUAAGUAUUUUAUCAAAUCUAUAAAUGUUGGGUAUAGACGCGAGACCUGCCUACUUUUGAAGGCAUUAUUAUCUUGCAUUUGAAUCUUUGAAAUAGAAACUUAGGCCCGACAAAAUAUAGAUCCAUCACUAUUAUUAUUUUUCUUGUACAAGACAGAGACUAAAGAAAAAUGAAUUUUAAAAUAUCUUAAGCUUUUCAUAUUUUAUUACUAGUUUGAAUAUGAAUCACUUACACUUUUAUAUCCUUUCAAUAUAAUCAAAUUGUGAAGAGCUUAUUGAAAUUAUUAAAAAUAUUCACAAUGAUAUUACUAAGAAAUCACACUUCAACUUUAUUGGAUCAAUAUUUUUCAAAAAAUAGAGAAAUGAUAUAUAUAACUAUAGUUUAGUCCUAAAAUUUUAUCUUAACACAAACAAGUUAAUAUAAUAAAAAUUUUACUAUCUUCUAUGAUGCUAUAAUGUGUUUGCCAUUGCAAUCUUCAAAAAAUACUUGCACGGUUAUAAAGUACAAUUUUAUUUUUUAAUUCAAAAAAAGUGCAUUCUCAUUAUUUAUUCAAAUUGGGAUAAAAAAAUCAUUAUUAUAAAAUAGGACAUAAAAGAUAUAAAUAGUUACUAAAACUCAUAAUUCGGAUUAUGGACCCCACUAGGUUUAGAAAAAAAAUUAUUUAUUUUUAUUUAAUAACAUGAUAACAGAAAUAAACACUUGUAAAAUUAAGUAUUUAUCAAAUAGUUAAUUUUUCAUAUCUUUAAGGAAUACUUCUUAAAUUCUAAGUUUUAAUAUAUAUUUAUGACCUCAAAAAAAAAUUAAUCUUAUGGUGAUUACAAUAAAAUAUUUUGAAGCAGAGAUAUGAAUAAGUUGAGGUCUUUACUUGAAUUUAAUAUAAAUAAAUGAAUCUAUUAUAUAAUAUAUAUGAUUGAAAUUUCUAAACUUGUUUAUUAAAUUGAUGAGAUAUAGAUUUACUAAUGAUUUUUGGCUGAGUUUUAAAAGAAAAAGCACGUGUUGCAUGGGAUAUUUAAAGAUUAAAAUGGAGAAAAUCUAAUAAAAAUAGUGUCAAUAAAACACCAUAAACAUUUAAGGCAUGUAUAUUUCAUGGAAAGUGGUUUUUUUUUAUAAACUAUUUUUAAAAUUGUUUUAUGUUUAUUUAAUAUUAAAAAAUUUAAUCAGUAAAAAAAAAAUUUCAGUAAAAAAAAAAUUGACUUGUUUUUUUAGGAAAAUAAUAUUUUUAUAAGUUGUAAAAACUUAAAAAUAUCUUUUUAUUUAUUAAAUAUAUCAAAUUAAGUUGUGAUCUUUUAAUUGUUGUAUAUUUUAUGUUUAUUUUUUUAAAAUUUUAUUCUUUAAAAUUCAAUAUAAUAUGAUUUGAUUUUUAUAUAACUUUAAUCCUUGUUGUUUUUUUAUAAUUGAAAUUAGAAAAGAUAAUUAUUGGAGUUGUCAAUAAAAAAAUGCCAACGUUACACGGGGAUUUCUCAGAAAGAAAGGGAAGAGAGGUGGAUGGUUCAUACUUUUGUGGGGUAUGUCGAGUCCUGUGGGGCCAAAGGAAAGUUGCAGGAAACGGAUUCAAGUCUGGUGUCAUGAGAGUUGCUUGGUGUUUUUUAAUUUUCUUAAUUUGGAAGGAAUGAAAUCGAAGACCUCAAGAUGCUGUCAAGUUUUGAAAACGUAAGGUUUGUUGGUAUUGUGUUUUGGAAAUGUUUUUUAAAAAAAAUUAAUUUUUUUUAAAAAAAUUAAUAUGUUUUUUUUUCUUCAAAUUAAUAUAUUUUUGAUAUUUUUAAAAUAUAAAAUUAUUAUUUUAAUAUGUUUUGAGAUAAAAAAUACUUUAUAAAGUAAUUAUUAUCAUACUCUCAAAUAUGACAAAGAAAAAUCCUUUUAGGUGCAGCAAAAAGUUGCUAACAAAGAAAAUGAGAUCCUUCCGACUCAUGUCACACGAGUAAUAUCAAGUUUUUUUUGUUUUUUUUUUUGUAUAAAUUAGAAUUUUAAAAAUUAUCUAUGUAUUUUAUUCUUAAGUAACCAUAUAACACAAAACGUAAUAAUAUCCUCUUUUUAUUUUGUGUUUGGAAUACUAGAUUACAUUAUUUUGUAUUUUUUAUGGUGUUUGGGACCCUCAAAUAAUCUUUUGGUGAACGUUGUUUCUUAGAAAUCCAGAAGCAUAUAUUUCAUUAACUUUGUCCUGAUAUAUAUAUAUAUAUAUAUAUAUAUAUAUAUAGAGAGAGAGAGAGAGAGAGAGAGAGAGAGAGAGAGAGAGAACCAUCCUUCAUCUUGAAGAAUUUAUUUAUUAUAAAGUUGGAAAGAGUCUAGGGAGUGAAAGUUCGAUGCUCUGACGAGGAAGCUGCCAUGAAAUUCCUCAUUGCAAGCUGCUCUGACGGGCAACAAAAGUUGGAAAGAUGCCUCGACAGUUGACUUGACUUAACUGUAGCAGUAAUUUUUUUACAAAAGUUUGAUUGAAUUAAAAAAUAUAUAUAAAUGCACUAAAAAAACACUAUCCUAAGUCUUUGAGCUAACGGAAUCCUUCAGGUCUUCAACUCCGGUGAAAGGUAACUCGGUCCUUAAGCCUUUAAAAUUCUUGAUUUGGACCUUGUGUUCUUCUCUUUAUGAAAUGUCACCCCCAAGUUCUAUGUAUCUACAAAUUAAAAUCUACACAUCUCACAAUCUUAUGGGUCCCCCACAUGAGAUUUAAUUUGUUAAUAAAUUAAACCAUGAAAGAAGGGCUGUCAAGGACCAAUGUCACAAACUUUAAAGAUUAGGGACGAAGUUUCUUUUGAUCAAAACUUCAGGGGAGGUUUGAAUCAAUUAGUUUUCAAUAUAUGUAUAAAGGAACAGAGAAACAACUAAAAUAAGAGAAUUACAUUAUGGUCACCAAUCAAAAAAUAAUUUAAGGUUGAAAAGUCAAUCCUCUCAAGUCCACACACUUUACACAUCAUCAACACAAGAAAUUAGAAAACUAGCAUAUAAUGAUGCUUUACUUCGUUUCUCAAGAAAGAAAACACGAUAGGAAAUCGAGUGCCCCGGAAAAGAUUUCCAUCUACCCAAAACAGCCCAGAAACCAUUUUCCUCUGAACUUCAGUUCCUCACUAGUUGUUGUACAAAAUUCAGCUGGUUUUUCUUUGUGAAAAAGAAGCCAUGGCAGGUCAAGUUGUGAUAUCAGCAGUUGCUGGGGCUGGUUUCCAGAUGAUUUUUGGUGAUUUCACAGAGGUGGUUUUAGAAGCACUGAAAAACAACUCCCAGUUCAAGCCAAGCUUGAAGCGCCUAGCGGAUAUGUUAGAAGAAAUGGCUCCAAAUAUCAAGAGAAUAGAGUCUUUCAACAGAGAGCUUGAUCAACCAAAGCAACUUGAAGGGCUCAAAGGAUUAAUGAAAAAAGGCAAUGAUUUAGUCUCUAAAUGCUCAAAAAUCCAUAAAUACAACUAUUAUAAGAGGCCUCUUUAUAACAAGAAACUUCUCAAGUUGGGGAAGGAUAUUCGUGAUCAUAUUACCCGUUUGCAACUUCAGGGAAUAGCAGAUACAAAAGAGAUUUUGCAUACUCAAAGACAGUUAAAUGAUCAAAUCGGGAAGUUAAGCAUGACUCUAAGCAAUGGUGGUAGGGUGGAUUCAAGCAAGAGCUAUAGUAAUACUAUUUUAGCUGGUGUGUGCUCGCCUCCUCUACUGAAAGUGGAUCCUGUUGGAUUGGAGAUUCCAUUGAGUGAUUUGAGGAUAAAGCUGCUUAAUGACGAGACAUCACAGCAUAUAGUGUUAUCUGCUCCUGGAGGAUGUGGAAAGACAACAUUGGCUACAGCACUUUGUCAACAUGGGGAUGUUAAAGGUACACAUAUACUACUUGAGAGUUCUUUUGACUACCUCCUUUUGUCUUUCUAUUCUUCUGCUUAUUUUUGGUCCGGCUAUUUGUAUCCAUUUUUUUUAUGGUCAGAGAGUGUUUGAGUUGGUACACCUGUUAUAAAGGUUCUAUGAUCAUGUUAGGCGAACAAUUUUUCAAACAGAAUAGGGUAUCUGAACAAAGUUGAGCUUUAGUGCCCGAAAAGGUUUCAUUAUGUUUUUUAUUUGUAUCCUUUCGUUUUUCUGGUUUAAUGUGUAUCUCUAUUAAGGUUCAUGUACAUUCUCUUGUUGAAUUAUUCAUUUUUUAAGAAAUAAAAACAUAGAGACUUGUGUUUCUGCAGAAUUGUGGGGCUGUUAUUGAUUGAAAUAAGCAAAUGUAUGACAUUUUAGACACAGUUCAUUACUUGGAACUCUUUGGCAGAGUAAAUGAAGCAAUUCCCAUAUUUUGCUUUUAGUUUUUCUGAGGAUUAGAAUUUGGAGUUCCACACUUAGGCUCUUGUAUCCGUUUUGAUUUAGCUAUAUGUGAAAACAUAAGAAUUGCUGAAGAAAUUUCAUUACAGCGUUCUUCUUUUCCGACUUUUCAGAUAAAUUCAAGAGCAAUAUCUUCUUUGUCAGCGUUCCAAAGCUGCGCAACCUGAUGGUCAUUGUGAAGAUGAUAUUCCAGCAUAAAGAAAUUGAGUUACCUGAUUUUCGAAGUGAAGAAGAUGCAGCUAACCAUUUGGAACGUUUGUUCCAGCAGAUAGGACCAGAUCCAAUAUUAUUGGUCCUUGAUGAUGUUUGGCCCGAAUCGCAAUCUAAUCUUGACAAGCUCAAAUUCCGAAUAGAAAAUUACAAGAUUUUGGUGACAUCAAGAUAUGAAUUUCCAAGUUUUGGAUCCACAUAUAAAUUGAAAACAUUGAAUCUUGCAGAUGCCAUGACCCUUUUUCAGAAAUUGGCAUUUCCAUUGGAUCAGCAGUCAUAUGCUCCAGAUCAGCAAAUUCUAGAGGAGGUGAUUUAUCAACCUGCAAUUAUUAAUGCUUAUUUGCUCAUUUUUAUUUGGUUUUCACCUUCUACAUAAAUACAAAUUAGUGAACAAAUAUUCUCUGUCCAAUAUUGUGACUCUCUGAUUUAGCAUGCACUUGUGCUUACUUGUUUGUUGUCUUAUCAAGUGCUACCAGAAGUUCAAAUAAAAAUUCUGAAACCAUGUGUUUUGAAUCUGUAAAUUUACUCCAGGGACGAUAUCUUACAAUUUUGCAACUAUAGAAAAGAAAAGAAAAACGUCCAUUUUACACCUUUAAGAAACCAUCGAUGAGUUUACACAAUGGAACUUUAUUUUUAGUUUGUUACUGCCCACCAACCUGCAAGGAUUGACUGAUUUUUGUCAUGGCACUGAAUUGCAGAUGGUAAAAUACUGCAGGGGAUUUCCUCUAGUCAUUUCAGUGGUUGGAAAAUCUUUGUGCCGGAAGUCCGCUGCAGAAUGGCGUAAGAGACAUAGGGAAUGCUCUAAACCUGCUUCUAUUCUUUCUGACAAUGAAAUUCUCGAUUGUCUUCAAAGCAGUGUGGAAGCCUUGACUGAUAAUGUAGAAGCCAAGGAAUGUUUCAUGGACCUUGGUUCAUUCCCUGAAGACCAGAGGAUUCCUGCCACUACCCUUAUUGAUAUGUGGGCAGAAUUGUAUAACCUAGAUGAGGACAACGCCAUUGCCAAUCUCCACGAACUCUCUGAUAGGAAUCUGAUUGAAGUUGUUGUUACAAGGUAUGAUAGCUAUGAACCCUAUUGACAUUAUCAUGGCCAGGGUAUUUAUUCUAGUAAUAGUAUGUGGAAUCUUCACAUAAACAUUGAUUCUACGAAUAUCAUAUGGAUCCUACUACCACAUGGACCUUUAUAUAUAAAAUGAGCUAUCCUUGAAAAUAUUAGAAGAACAAAACCAUUACCAACUGGUUUAUGGGUGUUAAAAUAAUUGGUUUUCGUUUUGGGUUUCGCCGAUGGAUGACCAGCUUCAACUGCUAUGAUUGCAACUUUUGAUGGUCAUUAGAACUCCACUUGUGUUAUUCAUUUCAAUUAACUUGUGUGCUAUUAGUAGCUAACUUGUCAAGAGUGUGAGUCUCUAAGCAAUCAACUGCUGUGAUUCACCAGGAAAGAUGCAAACGAAGACGAUGGCUCCUAUAAUGAGCAUUUUGUCACGCAGCAUGACCUGCUCAGGGAGCUGGCCAUCCGUGGAAGCAACUCAGGAAACAUUGAGCACAGGAAACGAGUAUUAUUGGAGAUAAUUGAAAAUAAAAUCCCUGAGUGGUUGAUGGAACAAGAUCAGCUAUCAAUCAGGGCCAAACUCUUAUCUAUCUCAACAGGUUAUUAAUCCCUAUUAUUUUCUUAAUACAAAGAUAGCCUGGCCUCUGCGCACAUGCAUGCGCACAAGCAUCAAACAUACGCAACCAAUUCUUAAUUAUUAUUUUUUGUAUUUUGAUCACCUUGUUUGCAGAUGAAAAAUUCUCAUCAAGUUGGUCCACCAUGCAAGCGCCGGAAGUUGAGGUUUUACUUCUGAAUUUGCGGACAGAGAAAUUCUCAUUGCCUGAGUUCAUAGAAAGAAUGAAUAAGCUAAAAGUUUUAGUACUUCACAAUUAUGGGUUCGUUCCAGCUGAAUUGAGCAAUUUCCCACUUCUUGGUUCUUUAUCAAAUCUAAAGAGAAUAAGGCUGGAGAAGGUUUCCAUCCCAU